This 2246-nucleotide long non-coding RNA is filed under the name Diabrotica virgifera virgifera (western corn rootworm). RNAcentral's name for it is "uncharacterized LOC126878944". Lineage: Eukaryota; Metazoa; Arthropoda; Insecta; Coleoptera; Chrysomelidae. The record is from RNAcentral.
CCUGAUGGAAUACAAUGUUGCCUAAUUUACUGUUCCGUUCCGUCACAAAUCGUCUGUCAUUCAAGUCAUUCUGUCAAAAACAAAUUUGUUUGGUUUUGUUUUCAAAAUUGUUGAAGUUCUAUUUUCUAUUUGGUUAUAUUUUUUAGUCAUGAAUCAUGAAAUUAAGUAGUAUCGUGGGAUAUUUGAAGUUCUUGGGUACUGAAAAUUCAAGCAGUUUUAGAAGGAAAACAAGUUUUAAACUCUGGUCAUCUUAUUUUGGCUGGAAAAAUAGAGGAAAGUUCUGAGCAUACCAUCAAAAUAAUAUGGUUUAUUCCUUCAGUAAGGUCCAAUCCCCACGAAAUUAAAGGAACUCUAUCUUUCACAACUGGCAUGAGCGUUAGCCAAAUGUUAUGUUCUUGUAAAGUGGAAAAUGUAAACAUGUCUCUACUCUUGUUCUUGUUAAAUUAAAGGAACCCUAACUUUCACAAAUGGCAUGAGCAUUAGCCAAAUGUUAUGUUAUUGUAAAGCAGAAAAUAGUGGAAAAUGUAAACAUGUCUCUACUCUUGUUAAAUGUAAGUAUAAGGGAAGAUGUGAAAUUAAUGGAACAUUCAGUACAUGAGUUGAAAAAAAUGUUAACAGAUUGGCAAAUGAAGACCAUUUUUAAUUGAUCUAAACAUUUAUAGAAACAAAGUAUAUGGUUAAUAUAAAAUAUUACCUGCCUGAAGUAACUUGGUGUACAAAUCAAUAGUAACCAUAAUUUUUAUUCCCAGGGCCAGUGAGAAACAAUGUCCAUUUCAUUUCUAAGUGUUCUAAGGAAAGAUCUCAUAAGAAUAAAUAGAUCUGUACAAUGAAGAUUAACCAGCGAAAUUAUUGUAUUGUUAUAAAAAUAAUAAAUCUCCAUUUCAUAUUAUUUACACUUACAUACAUUAGCCUGGAAUUUCAUUGUGUCUACAUUAGUGGCCAUAGUCACAAACCUACCCUAGUCUACGGAGGUACUGUCUUUCGCAAAUGUGGUAAUACCGGGUUUGAUACAUUAUUGCUAAAUAAAGUUUGUGAAUAGUAAUUUUCCACAAAAUAGACAGAGUUUUAAUAGUUUUCACUGUACUUAAAUCUUUUUUACAUUCAGUGGUAAUAACAUAAUAUUAUAUUUUGUUUUGGUAUUUAAAUUUACCUAAAUAUUUAUAGAAAUAUACUAUACUAAAUUCAAGAUGCAGUAGAAAUAAACAAACCAAGACACGUUAAAUGCUACUAUGAGCACUCCUGAAUCAUAAUUUACAAUGUAUAUACAUUGUAAAUCCCAAAUCAUGAUUUCUAAAGUUUAUACAUUGUAAAUUAUGAUUCGGGAGUGCUCCUAAUAGUAGCAUUUAACUUGUCUUGAUUUGUUUAUUUCUACUGCAUCUUAAUUUUAAAUUUACUGUAGAUGUUGCCAUCAUAGGACUCUUACUUAUAGAUGCAAUAAAAUUAUUGGUUUAUUUUCAUUUUAAAUGUUAUACUUCCAGUAUUGUAUGUAGUACCUAGUAUUAAAACAUAUAUUUUUAAUUAAAAAUAUAAAUAUCUUAUUUUUAUAAUGAACAACAUUAAAUUUACUUCUUGCGGGAGUAGCAAAAAGUUAUAGUAAAUAUUUUUAACUCGUUUAGCUUUUGAUGAUAUUUUCCAUAUGUUUGUGUAAGACAUGUUUAACGAGUAGUCUAAGGGCAUAUUAUUAUACUUUGUUAUACAAAAUAGACAUAAAAUUUUGAAAUUUUCAGCUUCACUUUUUCUUUGUUUCAAUAUUAAAUCCCAAAUUUAGACUCUCCACCAUUUUCUCAUAAAAAAGUAUGUUGAGUUUUUACCCUAGGUAGACCGAAACCACCAAAAAAUUGAUGUUACUAAGUUUUUAAGUAUUAAAAAAAUGCGUUUCAUCAGAUACACAAAAUAAAUGCAACUGAUUAUGUUCAGAUAGUGGUGUCCCUCUUAAUUUUUAUUCCUAAAAACUUUACUAUUAAAUCAAAGUUUUAGUUAAAAAAAAAAACAAAAUGUUUGCUUUCUGUGUGGAGUUACAAAAAUAAGUUGAAAUGCUAUUUAAUUUCAUAUUAUUUCCUGGUGAUCCUCUGUCAUACUAAUUUUACAUUGUUCUUACAUGCAAGCAUUUGUAAAUUAAUUUACCAUUAAAGGGCAGCCCAAGGUAUAUUCAUCUUAAAUGGGUGGUUGUAGUUUUGUAUAUUUUAUUUUUAUUUUAGUUUUGUAAUAUUUUUAAGAACAAAUAAAAUAAUUAUAAUUAUUCUGAA